Molecule: long non-coding RNA, 1843 nt
Filed under: Homo sapiens (human)
Lineage: Eukaryota; Metazoa; Chordata; Mammalia; Primates; Hominidae
Description: non-protein coding lnc-GLB1L2-1:16
Source: RNAcentral
AUUUAGCUAAAAUGCAGAUCUCAACUGGUCACUUCCCUGCGUAAAAGCUUCAAUAGCUUUCUAUCGCCUACAGGCAAAAGUCCCUCUUCUGAAAAGCGGCUUGCAAAGCCCUAGUAGCUGGCUCCAUGCCCCCCAGCAAUACGUGGCCUCCUCAGACGCAUCUUCUAGCAAAGGAGAGCUGCUCAGUGACAUCCACAAACCGAGCUGCUUCUCACCUACCUGUUUUCCUUCUCUUUGGGAUGCCCCCCGCCCUCACCUUCUGCUUCUGGCUAACUCCUAGGCAUCCUUGAAGGCUUGGCUCAGUAUCCUCUCCUCCAGGAAGCUGUCCCUCACCUUCUCUCCUUUCCCUCCAUCCCAGUCACCAUGCACCACACCCAUAUCCCCAUUGCAUCCUGCAGCUACCUUGUGCCUGCACACGUUGGGCUGGGCAUGCAUCUCCUUCUCUCUCAAGACCUGGAUCCCUUCACUUUGUGUCUCUGGACCCCCCAGUGUGCUGAUAAUGGGGUUGGAACCCAUCAUAUUUCUCUUGAACGAGUUAAUGAUGGGACUGCUAUUUCUCUAACUGUUGCCUUGGAGGCCCUGUCACGUGCUCAUGGAAGAGAGCCAGGGGGGUGGAGGUGAUUCUUGUUACCCAGAGGACGUGGGGUCUGGAUACACGUUUCUGCCAUCUGCCAUCUGCCAGCUUCUUUCUGGUUGGUAGCUUUGGAGCCUGGUGCAGCUGGGGCCAGUCCCGAGCCUGGACUCUGCUGGGCAGUGGCAAGAGCACUGUCUGGAGCUCUCCUGAGGAGCCCACAGAUCCAACUCCCUAGGCCAAGGCUGCAGCCUGGGGCAGAGAUGCAGAGGCCUGGAGGAGCCUAGGGCACGCGGCCUGCGGGCUGGCUGGGGUUCAGAGUUCGUAUGUGUGUGGAGUGACUGGGCAGGUGUUCAGAAAUGAAGGCUGGCACUGCCAGGUAAGGCCCUUCCCUCCCUGAUGUGAGAGCCCUGGAGCCACCGCAGAGGCCCAGUCAGAUCUCUGUUCUAAUUCUGGCCUGGUGUGGAGGAUGAGGAGAGACGGCCCAGAAAGGAAGGCAGACUGUGCAGACCCCAUGUCUUCUGGCCCGCGAGGCCCUCCUCCUGUGCCUGCUUAUCUUAAAGAAUCCGGGAUAAGAGGUGACUUGGGCCUUGGCCGGGAGGCCCCUCCUCAGCUUCAGACAAGGAGGGAGCUCUGGGCAUGAGGACAUUGAGCAAGAGGCGAUGGCAGUGCCCACAACUUACCCUCAGCUCGGCUCUGUUGGGUCCGAGAAGUUGCAUGGAAAGGGCUCCUUGGGGGCCAGUUGUCAGUAAGCUGCAGAAGCCUGGAGCCGGCCAGGAAAUAACCACGUGUAGGAGCCUUCUCAGCUGAGAGGAAGGAGGACUCACGCGCGGCGAGCACAUGCUUGGAGCCAGGCACAGGGCAUGGACUGGAACUCCCAAUACCCCUGACAUGGGCUGAGUCAACGUGGUCAUGAACAUGUGACAGGAGGCAGCAGAAGUUGCAGAGAAGAGUGAGGCACGUUUGAAAAAGGCUGAAAAAUGUUUCUGUCCAGGCAAGGGUGUGUGCUGAAUGACUCAAGGAUUUUUUGGUGCAUUGAAUGAACAGCGGGACAUUGGACACCUGCUGAUCCAUCACCCCGGGCCCGGGCAGGCCCGUGGAUGAAGAGAGAUGGAGAAGACCAGGCAUGAGACUGUGGAGAAGCCACACCACCAGAAACCCCUGCCCCAUGCGCCGUCCAGCCCACACCUGUGGAUGCACGGGGGAUUGCAGGCAGGGCUCCCACCGUGGACUCAGGAACAGGCAGGGAAGCUGCUGCCUCACCAGGCGAAG